UACAGAGGUCUCAACCGUUGUUCGGAUUCAUUGGGCGUAAAGGGUGCGUAGGCGGUCGCGUAAGUCAGGUGUGAAAUCUCUGGGCUCAACCCAGAAACUGCACUUGAUACUGCGUGGCUAGGAUACUGGAGAGGAGACUGGAAUUUACGGUGUAGCAGUGAAAUGCGUAGAUAUCGUAAGGAAGACCAGUGGCGAAGGCGAGUCUCUGGACAGUUAUCGACGCUGAGGCACGAAGGCUAGGGGAGCAAACGGGAUUAGAUACCCCGGUAGUCCUAGCAGUAAACGGUGCACGUUUGGUGUAGGCGGAUUCGACCCCGCCUGUGCCGUAGCUAACGCGUUAAACGUGCCGCCUGGGAAGUACGGUCGCAAGAUUA
Molecule: ribosomal RNA, 374 nt
Filed under: uncultured prokaryote
Description: bacterial SSU rRNA
Rfam family: Bacterial small subunit ribosomal RNA
Source: RNAcentral